RNAcentral lists this ribosomal RNA (253 nucleotides) under uncultured bacterium. Its description in RNAcentral is "partial 16S ribosomal RNA". It matches the Rfam family "Bacterial small subunit ribosomal RNA", at positions 524 to 776 of the family's 1533-position model. The record is from RNAcentral.
UACGUAGGUGGCUAGCGUUAUCCGGAUUUAUUGGGCGUAAAGAGGGCGCUGGUGGCUUUGUAAGUCGGAUGUGAAAUCUCCUGGCUUAACUGGGAGCGGUCAUUCGAUACUGUGAAGCUUGAGAGCAUCAGAGGGAGAUGGAAUUCCCGGUGUAGUGGUGAAAUGCGUAGAUAUCGGGAGGAACACCAGUGGCGAAAGCGAUCUCCUGGGGUGCUUCUGACGCUUAGGCCCGAAAGUGUGGGGAUCAAACAGG